RNAcentral lists this transfer RNA (76 nucleotides) under Anguilla anguilla (European eel). RNAcentral describes it as "tRNA-Leu". The record is from RNAcentral. Lineage: Eukaryota; Metazoa; Chordata; Actinopteri; Anguilliformes; Anguillidae.
UGCUGGAAUGGCUCAGCGGGUAAGUGUGCCGGUCUCAGAAAUUCUGAAAUUGUGGGUUCAAGCCCCACUCCUGCAA